GUAGACAAAGUAAUAGAUACAUGUAACAAUUAUAUUGCUUAAUUUUUUUUUUUGUGAGGACUAUCAAUAUUAUCUUAUUCUCUCUUACAUAUAAGUACUAGAUAAUUAUGCCCGUGCUAUUCACGGGCCCAACACUCCAUGCUCUGUAUAAAAAACUAAAAAAUAUAAUAUUCAGAUUAUUUUCUCGUAAAAAUCACAAGAUGACAUAAUGUUGUUAUUCUCUUUACAAAAAUGUGCGAAAAUUACACAAGGAUGAUACCACUCCAACGAUCAAUCCAGACCCUUUGUUAGUUCGUCUUCUCACCAUUUUUUUCGGUUGCUGAAGCAUGUACCAUUAUUUGUAUUGCGUCAUAUAGCCUUGUCUUGCAAGUUUGUGUUGCAUAACUUGCUUGACUUGGUACUGCCUCGACCUCUUCCAUUCCUAAGCCCAAAGACUGGGUGGUUGUUAGACUGCAUGAUAAAUAUUUUAAGUAAUUGUUUUUUAAUAUUGAUGAUUUGAUAUCCACACCAGAAAAAUGUAAAUGGAUCCAUCUAAAUUAGUCAUGAACUUUGCAUCAAGUUCUAUAUUGAUUUGUAUUUCUCAUUCUUAUGCAGCUAUGUCAUUAUAUUCAAACUUUAGCAUUAGAGAAUCAAAUGGCAGUCAAGUUCUAUGAUUGAUCUAUGUGCUUUUCGUUUUUAUGCAAAUUCAGUGUCAUUCUGUUAAAACUUUAGCAUUAGAGAAUCAAGUUUCAGUCCAAUUGGUAGUUGUCUAAUGUCCGUCUGAUUGUUUUUCUUUUGAUACAAAAAACUAUUGCAAAAGGCACACCACUUGUAAAAAUUAUCAAAGAAAAGAGCUUAAUGGAUAAACAAUAGUAAGUAUGUACCUUUUUCAGUCUUGAAAUCGGCAAAGAGAUGCAGAAGCUUGCUUCUGUUUGAGACAAGAAUCUGUAAUUGAAGUGCAAACAGGUGCAACUAAUAAGAAAGGAAAAAACGCACUGCAUACAAAAUAAAAACAUUGAAGCAACUUAUUAUAAAAAUGAUAAACCCCUAACCUUGCUAAACAAAGUGAAC
This 1050-nucleotide long non-coding RNA is filed under the name Capsicum annuum. RNAcentral's name for it is "long non-coding RNA (CANN_LNC015094)". The record is from RNAcentral. Lineage: Eukaryota; Viridiplantae; Streptophyta; Magnoliopsida; Solanales; Solanaceae.